GCAAAAUAUUUCAGAUCAAUAUGUAAAUACUCCAACUCUAAAACCAAGUAAAAUAAAUAUGCUGCAUAUGUGUAUAGUGCGUUCAUGUGUGUGUGCGCUGCGUGGUGACGUAGGCGCGUGCAUGUGUGCCCCGGUCACAGCUCCUUUCAGCAUGGCCGGAGGAGAGGUGUACUGGCAGUCGCGUGACACACACAGAUCAGACACAUAUUUCUGUGUUGCAGAUGUGCAGUAAAGAGCCAAAGACCCAGUACUGUCUCCUGC
This is a non-coding RNA of Maylandia zebra (zebra mbuna), 261 nucleotides long. The record is from RefSeq and is a predicted model, not a curated record. NCBI's taxonomy places the organism in Eukaryota, Metazoa, Chordata, Actinopteri, Cichliformes, Cichlidae.